This 445-nucleotide ribosomal RNA is filed under the name Bradynectes sterreri. RNAcentral describes it as "partial 16S ribosomal RNA". It matches the Rfam family "Bacterial large subunit ribosomal RNA", at positions 1801 to 2610 of the family's 2925-position model. Lineage: Eukaryota; Metazoa; Platyhelminthes. The record is from RNAcentral.
UGUUUAAUAAAAACAUUUYUUUUUUUAUAAAAGGUAGGCCCUGCUCAUUGYUUAGGUAAAAAGCCUGCAGUAUACUUGACUGUGCUAAGGUAGCAUAAUUAUUUGUCAUCUAAAUAGUGACUUGUCUGAAUGGGUUAAUGGAUUAAUAGAUGUGAGAAAUAUAAUUUGAAAUUUUUUAAAAGUAAAAAAGCUUUUAUAAAAAAAAAAGACGAGAAGACCCUAAAAAGCUUUAUACCGAAGGUAUUUUAAAUAGGGCAUUAAAGUUAAACUUUUUUUAAUCCUACUGGAUAAAAUUUAAGUUACUUUAGGGAUAACAGGGGGAUUGUGAAAAAAGUUCUUAUUAUAUUCAGAGAUUCCCACCUCGAUGUUGAAUUAAGAAAACCUAGGGUUGUAGAAGCUUUUAUGGUAAGGCUGUUCGCCUUUUAAAUUCUUACAUGAUUUGAGU